This 543-nucleotide ribosomal RNA is filed under the name Penicillium citrinum. RNAcentral describes it as "eukaryotic LSU rRNA". It matches the Rfam family "Eukaryotic large subunit ribosomal RNA", at positions 99 to 657 of the family's 3401-position model. Lineage: Eukaryota; Fungi; Ascomycota; Eurotiomycetes; Eurotiales; Aspergillaceae. The record is from RNAcentral.
CGGCAAGAGCUCAAAUUUGAAAGCUGGCCCCCUCGGGGUCCGCAUUGUAAUUUGCAGAGGAUGCUUCGGGAACGGCCCCCAUCUAAGUGCCCUGGAACGGGCCGUCAUAGAGGGUGAGAAUCCCGUCUGGGAUGGGGUGGCCGCGCCCGUGUGAAGCUCCUUCGACGAGUCGAGUUGUUUGGGAAUGCAGCUCUAAUUGGGUGGUAAAUUUCAUCUAAAGCUAAAUAUUGGCCGGAGACCGAUAGCGCACAAGUAGAGUGAUCGAAAGAUGAAAAGCACUUUGAAAAGAGAGUUAAACAGCACGUGAAAUUGUUGAAAGGGAAGCGCUUGCGACCAGACUCGCCCGCGGGGUUCAGCCGGCACUCGUGCCGGUGUACUUCCCCGCGGGCGGGCCAGCGUCGGUUUGGGCGGCCGGUCAAAGGCCUCUGGAAGGUAACGCCUCUCGGGGCGUCUUAUAGCCAGGGGUGCCAUGCGGCCUGCCCGGACCGAGGAACGCGCUUCGGCUCGGACGCUGGCAUAAUGGUCGUAAGCGACCCGUCUUGA